Molecule: ribosomal RNA, 735 nt
Filed under: uncultured marine bacterium
Lineage: Bacteria
Description: bacterial SSU rRNA
Rfam family: Bacterial small subunit ribosomal RNA
Source: RNAcentral
UGAUCCUGGCUCAGAACGUACGCUGGCGGCACGCCUAACACAUGCAAGUCGAACGAAGUAGCAAUACUUAGUGGCAGACGGGUGAGUAACAUGUAGGUAUCUGCCCUUUGGCCUGGAAUAACACGAGGAAACUUGUGCUAAUACCGGAUAAGUCUUUACGGAGAAAGCUUUAUGCACCAUUGGAUGAGCCUGCACUUGAUUAGUUUGUUGGUGGGGUAAUGGCCUACCAAGACUGUGAUCAAUAGCUGAUUUGAGAGGAUGAUCAGCCACAUUGGGACUGAGACACGGCCCAAACUCCUACGGGAGGCAGCAGUGGGGAAUCUUGCACAAUGGAGGAAACUCUGAUGCAGCGAUGCCGCGUGAGUGAAGAAGGCCCUUGGGUUGUAAAGCUCUUUCGUCGGGGAAGAAAAUGACUGUACCCGAAUAAGAAGGUCCGGCUAACUUCGUGCCAGCAGCCGCGGUAAUACGAAGGGACCUAGCGUAGUUCGGAAUUACUGGGCUUAAAGAGUUCGUAGGUGGUUGAAAAAGUUAGUGGUGAAAUCCCAGAGCUUAACUCUGGAACUGCCAUUAAAACUUUUCAGCUAGAGUAUGAUAGAGGAAAGCAGAAUUUCUAGUGUAGAGGUGAAAUUCGUAGAUAUUAGAAAGAAUACCAAUUGCGAAGGCAGCUUUCUGGAUCAUUACUGACACUGAGGAACGAAAGCAUGGGUAGCGAAGAGGAUUAGAUACCCUCGUAGU